GUGGGGAAUAUUGGACAAUGGGCGAAAGCCUGAUCCAGCCAUGCCGCGUGUGUGAAGAAGGUCUUCGGAUUGUAGAGCACUUUAAGUUGGGAGGAAGGGCAGUAACUUAAUACCUUGCUGUUUUGACGUUACCAACAGAAUAAGCACCGGCUAACUUCGUGCCAGCAGCCGCGGUAAUACGAAGGGUGCAAGCGUUAAUCGGAAUUACUGGGCGUAAAGCGCGCGUAGGUGGUUCAGCAAGUUGGAGGUGAAAUCCCCGGGCUCAACCUGGGAACUGCCUCCAAAACUACUGAGCUAGAGUACGGUAGAGGGUAGUGGAAUUUCCUGUGUAGCGGUGAAAUGCGUAGAUAUAGGAAGGAACACCAGUGGCGAAGGCGACUACCUGGACUGAUACUGACACUGAGGUGCGAAAGCGUGGGGAGCAAACAGGAUUAGAAACCCUAGUAGUCC
RNAcentral lists this ribosomal RNA (450 nucleotides) under uncultured bacterium. RNAcentral's name for it is "partial 16S ribosomal RNA". It matches the Rfam family "Bacterial small subunit ribosomal RNA", at positions 354 to 796 of the family's 1533-position model. The record is from RNAcentral.